AUUGAACGCUGGCGGCAGGCCUAACACAUGCAAGUCGAGCGGGGGUAGCAAUACCCUAGCGGCGAACGGGUGAGUAAUGCCUAGGAAUCUGCCUCGUAGUGGGGGACAACGUUUCGAAAGGAACGCUAAUACCGCAUACGUCCUACGGGAGAAAGUGGGGGAUCCUCGGACCUCACGCUAUGAGAUGAGCCUAGGUACGAUUAGCUAGUUGGUGGGGUAAAGGCUCACCAAGGCGACGAUCGUUAACUGGUCUGAGAGGAUGAUCAGUCACACUGGAACUGAGACACGGUCCAGACUCCUACGGGAGGCAGCAGUGGGGAAUAUUGGACAAUGGGGGAAACCCUGAUCCAGCCAUGCCGCGUGUGUGAAGAAGGCCUUCGGGUUGUAAAGCACUUUAAGCAGGGAGGAAGGUUUGCUGGUUAAUACCUGGCAAAAUUGACGUUACCUGCAGAAUAAACACCGGCUAACUCUGUGCCAGCAGCCGCAGUAA
This 490-nucleotide ribosomal RNA is filed under the name uncultured bacterium. Its description in RNAcentral is "partial 16S ribosomal RNA". It matches the Rfam family "Bacterial small subunit ribosomal RNA", at positions 30 to 523 of the family's 1533-position model. The record is from RNAcentral.